RNAcentral lists this long non-coding RNA (1776 nucleotides) under Carassius auratus (goldfish). RNAcentral describes it as "lncRNA (ENSCARG00000029604.1)". The record is from RNAcentral. Lineage: Eukaryota; Metazoa; Chordata; Actinopteri; Cypriniformes; Cyprinidae.
AUGUCAUUCAUACACCGCCUCCUUGGAAAACCUAUCAGAGACCAGAAAGAACGAGGAGGAGGAGAAAGAACUCAACACAACACAGCAGAUACCAAGGACACCGAUUAUAACAGUUGCAGGGGAGAUGAGGAUCACCUGUUCCAAUUAGGAAGCGGGAGAUUAAGUAUUCUGGUUGCCAGAAUGAGAGAGAGGUGGAGAAGUGACAUCAUUUCCACCUGCUGUUGGAUUGCCUCAUUGAUUGGAUCUGUCAGUUGCGGUUUUUCUUGGACUUUUUCAAGUUGUGGUUUAAUGUUGUGGUAUAUUAUGUAAAUUCCCUAAAAUUAAAUAAUACAUUUGGGUGUUAUUCUGAGAUUUUUCGUGGAUGCUUCCUUUGUUUGUUGCAGUCACGAGCCGACAGUAACAUCAAGGCUGAGUUGAAGUUGAUGGUCCUUUAUCCAGCAAGAAAUGACUGCACGGCAAGCUGAGAUGUGAGCAACUAUCAUCAGAUCAUCAGGAUAGAAUGAGAGGUAGUGUUGAGUGUCAUCAACAUAACCAUGGUAUGAAAAGCCAUGUUUCUGAAUGACAGAACCUAAUGAUGCCAUGCAGACAGAGAAGAGAAGUGGUCCAAGAACUGAACCCGGAGGCACCCCAGUAGUUAGAUGUUGCGACUUGGACACCUUACCUCUCCAAGAUACUUUGAAGGAUCUAUCUGAUGAGGUAAGACUCAAACCACUGGAGUGCAGCUCAUGAAAUACCCUUUGCCAGUAGGUUUGACAUGAGUUCUAGUGAUUAACCAUGCCAAAAGCACUUGAUAUGAUAUCAAUUAUUUAUCAUUGUUAUUUUUGAUUAAAUGCUUUAUAUACUAUUUUAUUUCAUUCAAAUGAUUCAUGAUAAAUCAUAAUAUUGAGCAAUUGUCAAUAUAUUCCUUUGAUGAGAUUCUCAUGUUUGAUCAUCAGUGCCUUGACAUGACCCUUGCCUUCAUGUUUCACUAUUGCUCACUAUCUGAAAAUGUUCUGGGCUUGUCUUAAAGCUAUCAGUUCCUCGACUCUAAUGCAAUCAUAUGGAGCAGAGGAUUGUAGUCAAAUCAAUGCAUAUUCUUCUUCUUGUAAUGUGUUGUUUCUAUGUUGCAGCAUGCCCUCUACAAUAUGGUCACAUCAGGCUAAUCAUAUUGCAGCAGGUCGAGAUAAAUUAAUAAUAACAUGAGUGGAAUGCAUAAUUAUUAAGGAAAGGCUUUUGAAUUUUUGUGGAAAUUGUGGAUCUAUAAUUAAUUGAUCUAAAGUAGCCUCUGGCACUCAUUUAACUACACAGAUAUGGAUUCAAAUUGAAUAGCAUACUGUACAUGAUGAAGCUCUUUUUGAAACUGUGUGUCCAAGGAAACAUUAAAAUGGAAAUUGCACAAAAAAAUGCAAAACUAGCCGGACUAGCAGAAAACAGCUGGAAAUUAAAUGGGAAAAAAAGCUAUUCUUCCAAGGUAGGAACUAGAACUUGGAUUGGGAAAAGCAGUAAUAAAUCUGACUGUGUGAAUAUUAUGCAGCUAGUUAUCUUUCUGUCUUGGAUUUGUCUUUUUGAAUGAAUUUUUAAAUAUUGCAUAUGCUGCAUGAGUUAUCAGUCAAUCUUUGUUACUCUGGCAAAAUCAAAUAUGGAUUUUGGCUGGAUAAUCUUGAAUUCCAAUUUACGGGCACAGCUAUAGAGUAAAAAAGCUCAAAUGAAGUGAAGGCUAAUCCAUCUCUGAUGUUCUCUCGGAAGAAACUCUCUCUUGUGGUGUUGCCUCGAGAUAUAGCGCAUGAGACCUUUUUA